CAGUCGCCGCGGUAAUACGGAGGGUGCAAGCGUUAAUCGGAAUUACUGGGCGUAAAGCGCGCGCAGGCGGUUUGUUAAGUCAGAUGUGAGAUCCCCGAGCUUAACUUGGGAACUGCAUUUGAAACUGGCAAGCUAGAGUCUUGUAGAGGGGGGUAGAAUUCCAGGUGUAGCGGUGAAAUGCGUAGAGAUCUGGAGGAAUACCGGUGGCGAAGGCGGCCCCCUGGACAAAGACUGACGCUCAGGUGCGAAAGCGUGGGGAGCAAACAGGAUUAGAUACCCCUGUAGUCCCUGUCUCUUAUAC
Molecule: ribosomal RNA, 301 nt
Filed under: uncultured bacterium
Lineage: Bacteria
Description: partial 16S ribosomal RNA
Rfam family: Bacterial small subunit ribosomal RNA
Source: RNAcentral